UACGUAGGGUGCGAGCGUUAAUCGGAAUUACUGGGCGUAAAGCGUGCGCAGGCGGUUGUGCAAGACAGAUGUGAAAUCCCCGGGCUUAACCUGGGAAUUGCAUUUGUGACUGCACGGCUAGAGUGCGUCAGAGGGGGGUAGAAUUCCACGUGUAGCAGUGAAAUGCGUAGAUAUGUGGAGGAAUACCGAUGGCGAAGGCAGCCCCCUGGGAUGACACUGACGCUCAUGCACGAAAGCGUGGGGAGC
Molecule: ribosomal RNA, 246 nt
Filed under: uncultured bacterium
Lineage: Bacteria
Description: partial 16S ribosomal RNA
Rfam family: Bacterial small subunit ribosomal RNA
Source: RNAcentral